RNAcentral lists this unclassified non-coding RNA (240 nucleotides) under soil metagenome. RNAcentral describes it as "partial contains 5.8S ribosomal RNA, internal transcribed spacer 2, and large subunit ribosomal RNA". The record is from RNAcentral.
AACAUCGCGCACCUGCGGGAACCUGCGGAAGGAUCAUUACAGAAUUGCAAAACUCCCUAAACCAUUGUGAACGUUACCUAAACCGUUGCUUCGGCGGGCGGCCCGGGUCCUUCCCGGCGCCCAUCGGCCCUCGCGGGCGCCCGCCGGAGGUAAACCAAACUAUUGCAUUGUAUGGCCUCUCUGAGUCUUCUGUACUGAAUAAGUCAAAACUUUCAACAACGGAUCUCAGAUCGGAAGAGC